GUACACGCUGUGACUAGCAUAUCAAUAAGCGGAGGAAAAGAAACUAACAAGGAUUCCCCUAGUAACGGCGAGUGAAGCGGGAAGAGCUCAAAUUUGAAAUCUUAAAGGGUUUCCCUUUACGAAUUGUAGUUUAAAGAAGUGUUUUCUGUUGAGGUUUUGGUAAAAGUUCUUUGGAAUAGGACAUCAUAGAGGGUGAGAAUCCCGUAUUUGACCUUUACUUUCAACUUUGUGAUACACUUUCAAAGAGUCGGAUUGUUUGGGAAUGCGGUCCAAAAUGGGUGGUAAAUUUCAUCUAAAGCUAAAUAUUGGCGAGAGACCGAUAGCGAACAAGUACCGUGAGGGAAAGAUGAAAAGAACUUUGAAAAGAGAGUUAAACAGUACGUGAAAUUGUCAAAAGGGAAGCGUUUGACACCAGUGUUGUUUUUCUGAAAAUCAAUUAAAGAACUGUUUAUGCUAAGUUGUUUAGACUUUAUCAGCUAACUGUUUAGUUUUGAGCUUUUCUUUAAUGCACUUUUCAGUUAACAAGUCAACAUCAAUUUCUUUUGCUGUAAAAAAGCUUGAGGAAGGUGGCUUGAGAUUCGUCUUAAGUGUUUAUAGCCUCUUGCCUAUGCAGUCGGAGAGAUUGAGGUCUGCAGCGUAGAUCCUUCGGGGCUAAAUGCAUUUGUGCUAAGUUAUAGCAUUUUAUAGACAACUUGUUGACUAUGAUUUGUCUUGUAGCUUACUCGCUUAUGUUAUUUUACCUACGCUUAGGAUGUUGAAGUCAUCGUAUCGCGC
RNAcentral lists this ribosomal RNA (774 nucleotides) under uncultured Neocallimastigales. RNAcentral describes it as "partial large subunit ribosomal RNA". It matches the Rfam family "Eukaryotic large subunit ribosomal RNA", at positions 22 to 645 of the family's 3401-position model. Lineage: Eukaryota; Fungi; Neocallimastigomycota; Neocallimastigomycetes; Neocallimastigales. The record is from RNAcentral.